AGCACGUAUGCUCUCUCUCUCUCAAAAAUAAAUAAAUGUUAAAAACAAAAAAAAGAUCACAGCUGGAUAGGAACAGACCUAGGACUCCCCUGGGAUUUUAUGGAGUCUAAUCCCUUCUCCAUUGCUUUUGGCAACAUACAGACUGGGGAAAAGCAGACCGAUCUGACAUGAAGGGGACCCAGGGGCUCUCUCUGAUGUGGCCAGAGCCUACCCUCAUCAGCACCCUUCCCACCGUGCCUUGCCACGUGGGCUCUCUGCGGCCGCGUCCCACAUCGGCUAGACGUGGGUCACCCCCAGCAGAGCUCAGUCCGCCAGCCGAAGGCUUUUUCCUGAUUAACUGAGUGUGGCUCUGCCAGGAAGCUCUCUCCUCAUCCUCUCGCCCUGCUGGUCUCCCCCAACUCCCGCUGCCACAGUCUGGCAUCCUUGGCACUCCCUAGGUGCGCAGGCACGGGCCAUGCCCCUCACCCCCAGCCUGACAGCCUCCUGGGCCGAGACGCUGCCUCGGCUGGCAACUUCUCUACUCCCAACCCUACCCCACAAUACCAGCUCUUCUCAGGACAGGUCCGUGUGGCCCCAGAGAAGCAGAGGGCAGCUGGAAGUUGCAGACUGAGAAGACAGCCCACCGAGCUCCUGGACGAGCAGUGUCUGUCGUCAGCCCAGCGUGCGUCCUCCUUGGUCUCUGGCCCCGGGGAGAACACACGUGGGAAGAUGUGGCUGGGGACCCUCACAGGCUCGUGCAGCUGAUGCCGUCUCUCUAAGAUGAACACAGGAAAGACGGACACUGUGGGGGCCUCCAUCUGCGUCUCCCUAGUUUCUUGGCCUCCCUGUGCAGGGAGGACCAUCUACUGGUCUCUGAAUCAAAUCUCAUCAGCGCAAGCUGUUCUCAAGAGAGGCUCCUGGCUUUUCCUUGACCUAACACAGUCCAAGUGGGAGAGAACCUUCAGGAAAACCUGUACGGCCAACAUGUCCGGUGAACCCCCGGUGUUUGGUCUACGUCCGAUCUCAGUUAUUUUGAAGUGGUUUAUCCCAGGUGACUACACAAGGAACAUCAAACAAGGAAGGAAGUGCCGCUGUGGGCCCGGGGACAGCCUGGCGUCCCUGGACCAUCCUCUUCUUUUUCCUCAUGGGACCAAGGCUGUGGGAUACAGGACGGGGAGGAACAGGAGGGCUCUUGUUCAGCUUCCCUGCAGAUGUCCCUAGGUGCCCUGACAACGUGAGACCUACUGGAAAUGGCUCUGCCCGCUGACAGAAAGGCUCGGCCAUACCCCCGCUGCCUUGGGUGCUGCAGCCUUAACACAGUGCUGAAGAAGUAUUCAUACUUCAGCCCCUGGGCAAAGCAACGCUGCUCCCAGAGAAAGGGGUGUGCCCCGCCAGCUCAUCUUGGCUUCGAAGAACCGGCUGCUGAGCUCGUGAGAUGUGUUACUCACAAAAUAACUUCAAGACUCUUAGAAUGGACAGCUACCACUCUUAACUGCCGGCUCCCCUGCCGGCCCUGCCUGUGCCACGUUUAUGAUGCCUGCGCUCCAACGAUGACUGCUACGUCCCCGUGAUGUCAACUCUGACCCGACUUGGCCGUUAAGCAGGCCUCCCUCUCCUGGGGCUCGCACAAAGGAGGCCUGUUGAGAGGCGGCGAGGUUUCCUGACCACCGUUUCCUGCAGCAUUGCUCAAGCCGCUGCAUAUAAAGUUUUUACAGUGACUGAUCAGACUGGGGCCUGAAAUCACGGAAUGGGAUGCCGUCUCCCCCCAAACCCUCUUUGCUUGAUUAGCUAUUGUAUCGUGCUGGUGCUCUUUAGGACCUGAAAUAAAAGCUCAUGUGAAUUUCCAAGUAAUAAAAUUCACUCAAGUCGCUAAAUAGGG
Molecule: long non-coding RNA, 1858 nt
Organism: Lynx canadensis (Canada lynx)
Lineage: Eukaryota; Metazoa; Chordata; Mammalia; Carnivora; Felidae
Exons: 2
Source: RefSeq, a predicted model, not a curated record